Molecule: ribosomal RNA, 524 nt
Filed under: uncultured bacterium
Lineage: Bacteria
Description: bacterial SSU rRNA
Rfam family: Bacterial small subunit ribosomal RNA
Source: RNAcentral
AAUGAACGUUGGCGGCGUGGAUUAGGCAUGCAAGUCGAGCGUGUACCCGCAAGGGGAAAGCGGCAAACGGGGUAGGAACGCGUAGGUCACGUACCCCUCGGCCGGGGAUAGCCACGGGAAACUGUGGGUAAUACCCGAUGACGCCGAGAGGCCAAAGGUGUGAUUCCGCCGGGGGAGCGGCCUGCGUAGUAUUAGCUAGUUGGUGAGGUAACGGCUCACCAAGGCGAAGAUGCUUAGGGGGUGUGAGAGCAUGACCCCCACCACUGGGACUGAGAUACUACCCAGACACCUACGGGUGGCUGCAGUCGAGAAUCUUCGGCAAUGGGGGCAACCCUGACCGAGCGACGCCGCGUGUGGGAUGAAGGCCCUUGGGUUGUAAACCACUGUCAGAGGGGAUGAAACGGCUAUGGGUUCUCCCAUGGCCCUGACAUAGCCUCAGAGGAAGCACGGGCUAAGUUCGUGCCAGCAGCCGCGGUAAUACGAACUGUGCAAACGUUAUUCGGAAUCACUGGGCUUAAAGGGUG